AGCAUGCCUUGCAAGUGGAGGUGGAGCCAAGUAUGUAGGUACGUAGGUCAAAGGUCUUGGCAUAAGGUCGGGCAGCUGUUAGAGGUUUAGAUGAAGCCUAAGAGAGCUGUCUCCAGGCCAGGGGAGCCAGCUUGGGAGGCCCCAAGCCUGCUGCCUCUUAAAGCGGGUGACUCAGCCUCGCUCUGUCAGUGACACUGGUCACAUGACGGCUGCUGCAGUUCUACGUAUCAGAGCAUUCCAUGUCCACAUUCAAGGUGGGAAGAGUGAAUGAGCUGUACCAGAGAACACUCUGCAUAUCUGUCCUGUUGUAAGAAAGAAAGAUCCUUUCCGGAAGUUCCCAGCAGACUUCCUCUUCCAUCCAGCUGAUUGGAGCAGUGUCACAUGGACACUUGAAGCUGUAGGAGAGACUAAGAAUGACUACCUUACUCCUCUGCACCCCAGUAAUGUGUUCACUCGCUGGUGAAUGGCCUCCCCUUGGGCUGGCAUCUACUUUGAGUGUGACCUCCCUCAUCCAGGCGACCCUCUGUGUCUGGACCAGAGGCUACCAGCCACGCAUGCUUCGGUGCUUCCAGCCCCAUCAUCUUUCAGAAGGGGUUCUCGGCCUGAAAUGUGCCCUCCUGAUCUUCAGGAGAAAUCUCUCCUGAAGCUUUCCCAUCUGUGCUUCUCCGGUUGCGUUGCCUUCUGCACCUUCUACACUGCUGCCUCUCUCCUGUACCGAUCUCCUAGGGCAUGUAUUCAGGGAUUUCUUCAUCAGUAAAGCAUACCCUGAAGUGGCUUCCGAAUUAUGAAGAUGAGAUGCAUCAUCCUCAAAGCAGUGACUCUCAGAACAUGACCACUGGCCCAUUGGAGUCCUCUGAGAACUGAUUGGAGAUGGAGAUUCUCGACCCUCUCACAGCCCUGCAGGACCAGAGACAUGGAAACGCUGAGGGGUGGGGGAGUUCUUCACUGGCUCCCCAGGGGAUUCUGAUGCAGGCUGAAGUGUGAAAACUACUUGUACAGAAUUGUAUUUUUACUGGAAUUUGAAACUCAGUCUGGAAAAGCCAGUGGGCUUAAUGAAACACAACUGCUUCUCGUCUCUCUUUCUGGCCGUGACCUGGAGAGACAGUUCUGCUGGCAGAAUCUGCUGCGCUUCCCUAACAGAGUGGUUUUCUUCUCCCUGGUUGAGUCAUCUCUUCACCCCCAGACUGCCCUUGGUGUGGGAAGAGGACCAUGUCUCACCAGGGGGUUGUUGACAAAUAGCAGUUUCCCUUCUAACCCACAAUUUUCUUGAGUCCGUAUCUCCAUCUGCAUGUGGUGAGAACUCCCAGGGGGCUCAGCCAGGCCAAACCACCACGGUGUCUCCCAGAUGUUUUGUAUGUUCACUUCCAGAUGGCUCAGCCUAAGAAAAUCUGAGGCCACAAGCUUUCCUCCCGCUUGUCUGCCUUCAGCCAUGGUUCAGAAGGCUCCUGUUAACAUACUGUUCCUUGCUCUUCACAUUCCAUCCCACUCGGCAUGACUCAUCAUCUGGCAUGCAUCCCUUUCAGCCAGAGGAUGGACUUUUCA
Long non-coding RNA from Bos taurus (domestic cattle), 1542 nucleotides. NCBI's taxonomy places the organism in Eukaryota, Metazoa, Chordata, Mammalia, Artiodactyla, Bovidae. The record is from Ensembl.